Molecule: unclassified non-coding RNA, 215 nt
Filed under: Hevea brasiliensis (rubber tree)
Lineage: Eukaryota; Viridiplantae; Streptophyta; Magnoliopsida; Malpighiales; Euphorbiaceae
Source: RNAcentral
GCCAGUGUUUUCUCAUAAAGUGUCCUGUUAACAAGUAGUUGAUAUCGAUCCCACGUCUGUUUGUAACCCAAAGCCACACGGGUCACAUAAAUUAUCAGUGCAGUGAUGGCAACGACAUCAAGAAAUAUUGCUGAUGGGGAAGAUAAGAUGUCUUCAAAUUUGUAAUUGAUGAAGUAUGCCGAAAGUCCCAAUAUUGUGGCCACAUCCAGGCGUAC